Molecule: ribosomal RNA, 1012 nt
Filed under: Bacillus pumilus
Lineage: Bacteria; Bacillati; Bacillota; Bacilli; Caryophanales; Bacillaceae
Description: bacterial SSU rRNA
Rfam family: Bacterial small subunit ribosomal RNA
Source: RNAcentral
AUGAAUUGCGUCGUGCUAUACAUGCAAGUCGAGCGGACAGAAGGGAGCUUGCUCCCGGAUGUUAGCGGCGGACGGGUGAGUAACACGUGGGUAACCUGCCUGUAAGACUGGGAUAACUCCGGGAAACCGGAGCUAAUACCGGAUAGUUCCUUGAACCGCAUGGUUCAAGGAUGAAAGACGGUUUCGGCUGUCACUUACAGAUGGACCCGCGGCGCAUUAGCUAGUUGGUGGGGUAAUGGCUCACCAAGGCGACGAUGCGUAGCCGACCUGAGAGGGUGAUCGGCCACACUGGGACUGAGACACGGCCCAGACUCCUACGGGAGGCAGCAGUAGGGAAUCUUCCGCAAUGGACGAAAGUCUGACGGAGCAACGCCGCGUGAGUGAUGAAGGUUUUCGGAUCGUAAAGCUCUGUUGUUAGGGAAGAACAAGUGCGAGAGUAACUGCUCGCACCUUGACGGUACCUAACCAGAAAGCCACGGCUAACUACGUGCCAGCAGCCGCGGUAAUACGUAGGUGGCAAGCGUUGUCCGGAAUUAUUGGGCGUAAAGGGCUCGCAGGCGGUUUCUUAAGUCUGAUGUGAAAGCCCCCGGCUCAACCGGGGAGGGUCAUUGGAAACUGGGAAACUUGAGUGCAGAAGAGGAGAGUGGAAUUCCACGUGUAGCGGUGAAAUGCGUAGAGAUGUGGAGGAACACCAGUGGCGAAGGCGACUCUCUGGUCUGUAACUGACGCUGAGGAGCGAAAGCGUGGGGAGCGAACAGGAUUAGAUACCCUGGUAGUCCACGCCGUAAACGAUGAGUGCUAAGUGUUAGGGGGUUUCCGCCCCUUAGUGCUGCAGCUAACGCAUUAAGCACUCCGCCUGGGGAGUACGGUCGCAAGACUGAAACUCAAAGGAAUUGACGGGGGCCCGCACAAGCGGUGGUGCAUGUGGAUUUAAUUCGAAGCAACGCGAAGAACCUUACCAGGUCUUGACAUCCUCUGACAACCCUAGAGAUAGGGGCUUUCCCUUCCGGCG